Molecule: ribosomal RNA, 164 nt
Filed under: Lonicera similis
Lineage: Eukaryota; Viridiplantae; Streptophyta; Magnoliopsida; Dipsacales; Caprifoliaceae
Description: 5.8S ribosomal RNA
Rfam family: 5.8S ribosomal RNA
About the family: 5.8S ribosomal RNA (5.8S rRNA) is a component of the large subunit of the eukaryotic ribosome.
Source: RNAcentral
CAAACGACUCUUGGCAACGGAUAUCUCGGUUCUCGCAGCGAUGAAGAACGUAGUGAAAUGCGAUACUUGGUGUGAAUUGCAAAAUCCCGUGGACCAUCGAGUCUUUGAAUGCAAGUUGCGCCCUAAGCCAUUAGGCCGAUGGCAUGUCUGUCUGGGCGUCAUGC